CCCUUAGAUGUUCUGGGCCGCACGCGCGCUACACUGAUGCAUUCAACGAGUCUAAAACCUGCUCUGAUAGGGGUGGGUAAUCUUUUUAAUGUGCAUCGUGAUUGGGAUAGAUGAUUGCAAUUUUUCAUCUUCAACGAGGAAUGCCUAGUAAACGCAAGUCAUCAGCUUGCAUUGAUUACGUCCCUGCCCUUUGUACACACCGCCCGUCGCUCCUACCGAUUGAAUGAUCCGAUGAAUAUCAUGGAUUGAGGAUGCAAGCAGGUUCGCCUGUCUUCAUCUUCGAGAAGUGAAGUAAAUCUUAUCAUUUAGAGGAAGGAGAAGUCGUAACA
This 329-nucleotide ribosomal RNA is filed under the name uncultured eukaryote. RNAcentral describes it as "partial 18S ribosomal RNA". It matches the Rfam family "Eukaryotic small subunit ribosomal RNA", at positions 1470 to 1796 of the family's 1831-position model. The record is from RNAcentral.